UACGGGGGGGGCAAUCGUUGUUCGGAAUUACUGGGCGUAAAGGGCUCGUAGGCGGCCAACUAAGUCAUACGUGAAAUCCCUCGGCUUAACCGGGGAACUGCGUCUGAUACUGGAUGGCUUGAGUUCGGGAGAGGGAUGCGGAAUUCCAGGUGUAGCGGUGAAAUGCGUAGAUAUCUGGAGGAACACCGGUGGCGAAGGCGGCAUCCUGGACCGAUACUGACGCUGAGGAGCGAAAGCCAGGGGAGCAAACGGG
This 253-nucleotide ribosomal RNA is filed under the name uncultured bacterium. RNAcentral's name for it is "partial 16S ribosomal RNA". It matches the Rfam family "Bacterial small subunit ribosomal RNA", at positions 524 to 776 of the family's 1533-position model. The record is from RNAcentral.